Molecule: ribosomal RNA, 253 nt
Filed under: uncultured bacterium
Lineage: Bacteria
Description: partial 16S ribosomal RNA
Rfam family: Bacterial small subunit ribosomal RNA
Source: RNAcentral
UACGAAGGGUGCAAACGUUGCUCGGAAUUAUUGGGCGUAAAGCGCACGUAGGCGGUAUUGCAAGUCGGAUGUGAAAUCCCUCGGCUUAACCAAGGAAGUGCAUCCGAAACUGCUGUACUUGAGUACGAAAGAGGAUCGCGGAAUUCCCGGUGUAGAGGUGAAAUUCGUAGAUAUCGGGAGGAACACCAGCGGCGAAGGCGGCGAUCUGGGUCGAUACUGACGCUGAGGUGCGAAAGCGUGGGGAGCAAACAGG